GCUGAAAAACCGGUUCUCGUACGAUUACCGAAGUUAAGCAACGUCGAGCCUUGUCAAUACCUCCAUGGGUUACCGCUUAGGAAAACCAGGUACUGUAA
Molecule: non-coding RNA, 98 nt
Organism: Acanthosepion pharaonis
Lineage: Eukaryota; Metazoa; Mollusca; Cephalopoda; Sepiida; Sepiidae
Source: the annotation of a GenBank genome assembly